ACGGAAGGCAGCAGUGGGGAAUAUUGCACAAUGGGCGCAAGCCUGAUGCAGCGAUGCCGCGUGAGGGAAGAAGGUUUUCGGAUUGUAAACCUCUGUCAACAGGGACGAAAAUGACGGUACCUGUGAAGGAAGCUCCGGCUAACUACGUGCCAGCAGCCGCGGUAAUACGUAGGGAGCAAGCGUUAUCCGGAAUUACUGGGUGUAAAGGGAGUGUAGGCGGGACUGUAAGUCAGAUGUGAAAUAUGCCGGCUCAACUGGCAGACUGCAUUUGAAACUGCGGUUCUUGAGUGAAGUAGAGGUAAGCGGAAUUCCUAGUGUAGCGGUGAAAUGCGUAGAUAUUAGGAGGAACAUCAGUGGCGAAGGCGGCUUACUGGGCUUUAACUGACGCUGAGGCUCGAAAGCGUGGGGAGCAAACAGGAUUAGAUACCCUGGUA
Molecule: ribosomal RNA, 434 nt
Filed under: uncultured Ruminococcus sp.
Lineage: Bacteria; Bacillati; Bacillota; Clostridia; Eubacteriales; Oscillospiraceae
Description: bacterial SSU rRNA
Rfam family: Bacterial small subunit ribosomal RNA
Source: RNAcentral